GGCACAAUCACAUAUGAAGAAUUGAAAGAAGGGUUAGCCAAGUGGGAUCUAAACUCACAGAAGCUGAAGUGAAGCAGCUCAUGGAUGCUGCUGAUGUUGAUGGGAACGGGUCAAUAGACUACAUUGAGUCAUUACUGCAACUAUGCAUAGACACAGGCUUGAAAGUGAUGAGAAUCUUUACAAGGCUUUCCAGCAUUUUGACAAAGACGGCAGUGGAUACAUUACAAUAGAUGAGCUCGAAGUGGCGUUGAAGGAGUAUGGAAUGGGAGAUGAUGCAACAAUCAAAGAGGUUCUCUCAGGUGGACUCUGAUAACGAUGGUAGAAUCAACUAUGAAGAGUUCUGCGCGAUGAUGAGAAGUGGAAAUCCACAACAGCAACAACAAACAACAACCACCGCGGCUCUUCUAAAGGGACAUUGCUUCUGGAUUCAAAGUAUCAAGAGGAGGAGAAACGGUAUGUAUCUAAUCCAGAAAAUCAGGAGCUGUAUUAAUUAAUGU
Long non-coding RNA from Brassica napus (rape), 497 nucleotides. RefSeq lists it as uncharacterized. The record is from RefSeq and is a predicted model, not a curated record. Lineage: Eukaryota; Viridiplantae; Streptophyta; Magnoliopsida; Brassicales; Brassicaceae. The transcript is spliced from 4 exons.